CUUCAUCUGUGCAUCAGGAGCACUGAGCAUUUCAUCUUUGAAGCAUCUUGACCAGAACAAGAGUCUGUCACUGAAACCAUCAUGGCUGCAUCUGAUGGGUUUCCUGCCAGUUUCUAUGGGGAACCGGGAGUUUUAGGCAUGUUGUCAAAUGGGAUCAGCGCAUUCCUUGUACUUCUGCAGAACUUCAACACAGCUCACAGUGGCAACGCUCCAGUUGGAGUAGAGAACAUUCUCGCAGGUGUACAUCUCAUCCUGAUUGGCG
Molecule: long non-coding RNA, 262 nt
Organism: Poeciliopsis prolifica (blackstripe livebearer)
Lineage: Eukaryota; Metazoa; Chordata; Actinopteri; Cyprinodontiformes; Poeciliidae
Exons: 3
Source: RefSeq, a predicted model, not a curated record